This 489-nucleotide ribosomal RNA is filed under the name uncultured bacterium. RNAcentral describes it as "partial 16S ribosomal RNA". It matches the Rfam family "Bacterial small subunit ribosomal RNA", at positions 30 to 507 of the family's 1533-position model. The record is from RNAcentral.
AUUGAACGCUGGCGGCAGGCCUAACACAUGCAAGUCGAACGGUAACAGGAAACAGCUUGCUGUUUCGCUGACGAGUGGCGGACGGGUGAGUAAUGUCUGGGAAACUGCCUGAUGGAGGGGGAUAACUACUGGAAACGGUAGCUAAUACCCAUAACGUCGCAAGACCAAAGAGGGGGACCUUCGGGCCUCUUGCCAUCGGAUGUGCCCAGAUGGGAUUAGCUAGUAGGUGGGGUAACGGCUCACCUAGGCGACGAUCCCUAGCUGGUCUGAGAGGAUGACCAGCCACACUGGAACUGAGACACGGUCCAGACUCCUACGGGAGGCAGCAGUGGGGAAUAUUGCACAAUGGGCGCAAGCCUGAUGCAGCCAUGCCGCGUGUAUGAAGAAGGCCUUCGGGUUGUAAAGUACUUUCAGCGGGGAUGAAGGGAGUAAAGUUAAUACCUUUGCUCAUUGACGUUACCCGCAGAAGAAGCACCGGCUAACUCCGUG